AUGCAAACACGAAGGUGAAAAGGGAAUCAGGUGCAAAACCUGAACUGUUUCCGCAGCUGUAAGUUCCCCUCAGUUCUUUAGCACCCCUCAUUGUCACUGUUCUUCGGAAUGGGAAGACGACUAAAGGACGGAACAAGUCAGAAGACCUGCCAAAUCUUAUU
This 161-nucleotide non-coding RNA is filed under the name bovine gut metagenome. The record is from RNAcentral.